UUGGCCGGGCGACGGUUGUCCCGGUUUAAGCGUGUAGGCUGGUUUUCCAGGCAAAUCCGGAAAACUAAGGCUGAGGCGUGAUGACGAGGCACUACGGUGCUGAAGCAACAAAUGCCCUGCUUCCAGGAAAAGCCUCUAAGCAUCAGGUAACAUCAAAUCGUACCCCAAACCGACACAGGUGGUCAGGUAGAGAAUACCAAGGCGCUUGAGAGAACUCGGGUGAAGGAACUAGGCAAAAUGGUGCCGUAACUUCGGGAGAAGGCACGCUGAUAUGUAGGUGAAGUCCCUCGCGGAUGGAGCUGAAAUCAGUCGAAGAUACCAGCUGGCUGCAACUGUUUAUUAAAAACACAGCACUGUGCAAACACGAAAGUGGACGUAUACGGUGUGACGCCUGCCCGGUGCCGGAAGGUUAAUUGAUGGGGUCAGCGCAAGCGAAGCUCUUGAUCGAAGCCCCGGUAAACGGCGGCCGUAACUAUAACGGUCCUAAGGUAGCGAAAUUCCUUGUCGGGUAAGUUCCGACCUGCACGAAUGGCGUAAUGAUGGCCAGGCUGUCUCCACCCGAGACUCAGUGAAAUUGAACUCGCUGUGAAGAUGCAGUGUACCCGCGGCAAGACGGAAAGACCCCGUGAACCUUUACUAUAGCUUGACACUGAACAUUGAGCCUUGAUGUGUAGGAUAGGUGGGAGGCUUUGAAGUGUGGACGCCAGUCUGCAUGGAGCCGACCUUGAAAUACCACCCUUUAAUGUUUGAUGUUCUAACGUUGACCCGUAAUCCGGGUUGCGGACAGUGUCUGGUGGGUAGUUUGACUGGGGCGGUCUCCUCCUAAAGAGUAACGGAGGAGCACGAAGGUUGGCUAAUCCUGGUCGGACAUCAGGAGGUUAGUGCAAUGGCAUAAGCCAGCUUGACUGCGAGCGUGACGGCGCGAGCAGGUGCGAAAGCAGGUCAUAGUGAUCCGGUGGUUCUGAAUGGAAGGGCCAUCGCUCAACGGAUAAAAGGUACUCCGGGGAUAACAGGCUGAUACCGCCCAAGAGUUCAUAUCGACGGCGGUGUUUGGCACCUCGAUGUCGGCUCAUCACAUCCUGGGGCUGAAGUAGGUCCCAAGGGUAUGGCUGUUCGCCAUUUAAAGUGGUACGCGAGCUGGGUUUAGAACGUCGUGAGACAGUUCGGUCCCUAUCUGCCGUGGGCGCUGGAGAACUGAGGGGGGCUGCUCCUAGUACGAGAGGACCGGAGUGGACGCAUCACUGGUGUUCGGGUUGUCAUGCCAAUGGCACUGCCCGGUAGCUAAAUGCGGAAGAGAUAAGUGCUGAAAGCAUCUAAGCACGAAACUUGCCCCGAGAUGAGUUCUCCCUGACUCCUUGAGAGUCCUGAAGGAACGUUGAAG
RNAcentral lists this ribosomal RNA (1381 nucleotides) under Escherichia coli. RNAcentral describes it as "partial 23S ribosomal RNA". It matches the Rfam family "Bacterial large subunit ribosomal RNA", at positions 1487 to 2843 of the family's 2925-position model. Lineage: Bacteria; Pseudomonadati; Pseudomonadota; Gammaproteobacteria; Enterobacterales; Enterobacteriaceae. The record is from RNAcentral.